CCACAAUACAAUGGAUAUUGUUACAGAUAUCUAUCAGCUAAAAUGGUAACAAUGGCUGGUAACUAGGUAACUGUGGUAACCAAGUUAUAUAUAGGUAACAGUGGCUGGUAACUAGGUAACUGAGGUAACUGUGGUAACCAAGUUAUACAUAGGUAACAGUGGCUGGUAACUAGGUAACUGUGGUAACCAAGCUAAAAUGGUAACAGUGGCUGGUAACUAGGUAACUGUGGUAACCAAGUUAUAUAUAGGUAACAGUGGCUGGUAACUAGGUAACUGAGGUAACUGUGGUAACCAAGUUAUAUAUAGGUAACAGUGGCUGGUAACUAGGUAACUGAGGUAACUGUGGUAACCAAGUUAUACAUAGGUAACAGUGGCUGGUAACUAGGUAACUGUGGUAACCAAGUUAUAUAUAGGUAACAGUGGCUGGUAACUAGGUAACUGUGGUAGCUGUGGUAACCAAGGUAACCGUCACAAUACAAUGGAUAUUGUUACAGAUGUCUAUCAGCUAAAAUGGUAACAGUGGCUGGUAACUAGGUAACUGUGGUAACCAAGUUAUACAUAGGUAACAGUGGCUGGUAACUAGGUAACUGUGGUAACCAAGCUAAAAUGGUAACAGUGGCUGGUAACUAGGUAACUGUGGUAACCAAGUUAUACAUAGGUAACAGUGGCUGGUAACUAGGUAACUGUGGUAACCAAGGUAACCGUCACAAUACAAUGGAUAUUGUUACAGAUGUCUAUCAGCUAAAAUGGUAACAGUGGCUGGUAACUAGGUAACUGUGGUAACCAAGUUAUACAUAGGUAACAGUGGCUGGUAACUAGGUAACUGUGGUAACCAAGGUAACCGUCACAAUACAAUGGAUAUUGUUACAGAUGUCUAUCAGCUAAAAUGGUAACAGUGGCUGGUAACUAGGUAACUGUGGUAACCAAGUUAUACAUAGGUAACAGUGGCUGGUAACUAGGUAACUGUGGUAACCAAGUUAUAUAUAGGUAACAGUGGCUGGUAACUAGGUAACUGAGGUAACUGUGGUAACCAAGUUAUACAUAGGUAACAGUGGCUGGUAACUAGGUAACUGUGGUAACCAAGUUAUACAUAGGUAACAGUGGCUGGUAACUAGGUAACUGUGGUAACCAAGCUAAAAUGGUAACAGUGGCUGGUAACUAGGUAACUGUGGUAACCAAGUUAUAUAUAGGUAACAGUGGCUGGUAACUAGGUAACUGAGGUAACUGUGGUAACCAAGGUAACCGCCACAAUA
This 1253-nucleotide long non-coding RNA is filed under the name Amphimedon queenslandica. Its description in RNAcentral is "uncharacterized LOC109590089, transcript variant X22". Lineage: Eukaryota; Metazoa; Porifera; Demospongiae; Haplosclerida; Niphatidae. The record is from RNAcentral.